Molecule: long non-coding RNA, 229 nt
Filed under: Phoenix dactylifera (date palm)
Lineage: Eukaryota; Viridiplantae; Streptophyta; Magnoliopsida; Arecales; Arecaceae
Description: long non-coding RNA (PDAC_LNC015928)
Source: RNAcentral
CUAAGCACCUACGUCCACUCCCCAAGCGACCCCUUGGGAAUUCACUAUAAUCCCGCAGAUUACAGUUGGAUUGUUUUUCGGGCUCACAAUCCAAAAAUCUUUACACUUUGGUUUUCCGGGUUCACCAAAAACCUAUGUUGGUUUUACGGGCUCACCAACGAACCUUUACACUUUGGUUUUCCGGGUUCACCAAAAACCUAUGUUGGUUUUACGGGCUCACCAACGAACC